GUUAACCGAAACCGCGCAAGGCUCAUUACAACAGCUAAAAUGUAUACGGUGAGAUACCAUUAAAUGGAUAUCUGCGGUAAAUCUGGAGCUAAUACAUGCAAAAAAGAUUGUAUAAUUAUGUCUGUAUGGUGGCAGUUAUUAGAUUAAAACCAAUGGGGCUCUGCCCCUAUAUGUUAACUCUAGAUAAUGCGUUACCAUACAGAUUAUAUUUUCUGAUGGGAAUGGCCCGUUAUUUGUAUCUGCCCUAUCAACUAUAUAACCGUGUAUUGAACGGUUAUGGUGUUGCCGGGUAACGGGAGAAUUAGGGUUCGUCUCCGGAGAGAAUGCCUUAAAAACGGCUUUCACAUCCAAGGAAGGCAGCAGGCGCGAAAAUUACCCACUCUCAGUGCGAGGAGGUAGUGACGUGAAAUGACAAGUUGCAUUCUUUAUAGGAUGGAACAUUGGAAUGGUUUAAUUUUAAAUCCAUUGAAGAUUAUCAAUGAGAGGGCAAGUCUGGUGCCAGCAGCCGCGGUAAUUCCAGCUCUCAUACUGCAUUGAAUUGCUGUUGCGGUUAAAAAGUUCGUAGUUGCAAGUGUACGGAGUGAGAUGGUUUAACCUCUAUGGGGAAAACAAUAAU
This 616-nucleotide ribosomal RNA is filed under the name Halicephalobus sp. CFB271. RNAcentral's name for it is "SSU rRNA". It matches the Rfam family "Eukaryotic small subunit ribosomal RNA", at positions 76 to 684 of the family's 1831-position model. The record is from RNAcentral. Lineage: Eukaryota; Metazoa; Nematoda; Chromadorea; Rhabditida; Panagrolaimidae.